AGUUUGAUCCUGGCUCAGGAUGAACGCUGGCGGCGUGCUUAAUACAUGCAAGUCGAACGAAGAUAUUUCGCCGAAGUUUACUUCAUUGAGAUAUCUUAGUGGCGGACGGGUGAGUAACGCGUGGGUAACCUGCCUUACACAGGGGGGAUAACAGUUAGAAAUGACUGCUAAUACCGCAUAAGCGCACAUUAUCGCAUGAUAGAGUGUGAAAAGAUUUAUCGGUGUAAGAUGGACCCGCGUCUGAUUAGCUAGUUGGUGAGGUAACGGCCCACCAAGGCGACGAUCAGUAGCCGGCCUGAGAGGGUGAACGGCCACAUUGGGACUGAGACGCGGCCCAAACUCCUACGGGAGGCAGCAGUAGGGAAUAUUGGACAAUGGGGGAAACCCUGAUCCCAGCGACGCCGCGUGAGUGAAGAAGUAUUUCGGUACGUAAAGCUCUAUCAGCAGGGAAGAAAAUGACGGUACCUGACUAAGAAGCACCGGCUAAAUACGUGCCAGCCGCCGC
This 505-nucleotide ribosomal RNA is filed under the name uncultured bacterium. RNAcentral's name for it is "bacterial SSU rRNA". It matches the Rfam family "Bacterial small subunit ribosomal RNA", at positions 10 to 518 of the family's 1533-position model. The record is from RNAcentral.